GUAUCUGAAGCCUGACGAGGAUGAGAACCUCCGGGGGCAAGAGGUUCGACUCGAGCGCAGCGAGAGAACGUUGCGUCAGCAACGGCCCGCAGGGCGAGCCACGCAGUGGCGAGUCAUCCUCUAUCACCGACCA
RNAcentral lists this small RNA (133 nucleotides) under Salmonella enterica. RNAcentral's name for it is "RtT sRNA". It matches the Rfam family "RtT RNA". Rfam says of the family: This family represents a bacterial cis-regulatory element known as RtT RNA. The exact function of RtT is unknown although it is thought that it may be involved in changing the cellular response in relation to amino acid starvation. Lineage: Bacteria; Pseudomonadati; Pseudomonadota; Gammaproteobacteria; Enterobacterales; Enterobacteriaceae. RNAcentral also lists the same sequence under 1 other name. The record is from RNAcentral.